AAGAGACGUUGCCCUUCGGGUAUACCUCCCACCCUUUGUUUAUUAUACCUUUGUUGCUUUGGCGGGCCCGUCCUCGGACCACCGGCUUCUGCUGGUCAGUGCCCGCCAGAGGACCUAAAACUCUGUUUGUUAAUAUUGUCUGAGUACUAUAUAAUAGUUA
RNAcentral lists this unclassified non-coding RNA (160 nucleotides) under soil metagenome. RNAcentral's name for it is "partial internal transcribed spacer 1". The record is from RNAcentral.